This 37-nucleotide transfer RNA is filed under the name Caymanostella cf. spinimarginata KVM-2021. Its description in RNAcentral is "partial tRNA-Phe". Lineage: Eukaryota; Metazoa; Echinodermata; Asteroidea; Velatida; Caymanostellidae. The record is from RNAcentral.
AAAUGCUUUAAUGAAGGUUAAACCCCUUCUCUCAGCA